UACGUAGGGGGCUAGCGUUGUCCGGAAUCAUUGGGCGUAAAGCGCGUGUAGGCGGUCCGGUAAGUCCGCUGUGAAAGUCGGGGGCUCAACCCUCGGAUGCCGGUGGAUACUGUCGGGCUAGAGUGCGGGAGAGGCGAGUGGAAUUCCUGGUGUAGCGGUGAAAUGCGCAGAUAUCAGGAAGAACACCCGUGGCUAAGGCGGUUCUCUAGUACGGUACUGACGCUGAGACGCGAAAGCGUGGGGAGCGAACAGG
This 253-nucleotide ribosomal RNA is filed under the name uncultured bacterium. RNAcentral's name for it is "partial 16S ribosomal RNA". It matches the Rfam family "Bacterial small subunit ribosomal RNA", at positions 524 to 776 of the family's 1533-position model. The record is from RNAcentral.